This is an RNA transcript of Triticum dicoccoides, 1312 nucleotides long. RefSeq lists it as uncharacterized. The record is from RefSeq and is a predicted model, not a curated record. NCBI's taxonomy places the organism in Eukaryota, Viridiplantae, Streptophyta, Magnoliopsida, Poales, Poaceae. The transcript has 4 exons.
AACGAUGUUUGUGUAUGUUAUCAUGUACUCCCUCCGUAAAAAAUAGCCAUAGAUUAGUUUUACUCCAUGGCUAUGGUUUCAUUGGUGAAAUAAACAUAAACAUGGUAUUUUACUGAAAAAGCAUGGUAUUUUAGCCUGGAGUUCUAAACCCUACAAAUAAGCAUGGUUAUGGUUUGUUAGGUCAAUCAAUAGCGGAAAGUUUAGCCUGGAGCUCUACUUAGUAGAAAAAUACAAAACUAUUAUUAUUAAUUGACGAAAUCCCAUAUUCUGCUUGAUCUGUGCUUGGCUCAUGUAUGUUGAUUCUCUUGGGCUGCGCAGAGCAGGGGUGUUGUAUCCGGGAGUCAAUGUUACUUGCUUUCUUCCUUGUGCUUAUCCAGCCCGAAGAUACACUCACAGGCAGUUUGACCCUGUUUCAAUUUGCCUUCUUCUUGACCAAAUUGAUUGUUGUUUCCCCUCCUAAUCUCCGUGGAUAAGUGGACCCCUUACUGCUAAAUUUAGUUGCCUUCGCUUUCCCUUUAAGGUGUUGUGUCCCUUGGCGAAUGCAGUAGCUUCAUUUAGUAUGGUUUGGUUUCUUACAAAGGUGAACUUCGCAAAUCAGUUAAAAUUGGUGAUCGCUUCUGGAACAUACGUAUACACAUUCACAUUAUAGGUUCAUCUUUGACCCUUUUAAAGAUGAAAAUGCCAUUUCCUUUGAGAAUAUCUUAAGACAACGGAAUAUCGUUGUCUAUUUUGAUGACAGAGAAAUGAUCUGAUUGGACUAUGGAAAUCAGUGAUAACAGGAGAUAGUGAGAUAUCUCCUCUUCCUGCUGCAUGUGCUCCCUGCCUACUUCCUUACAUGUGCUCCCUGCCUACUUCCUCUCAGGUCGACGCCACCGUGGCAGUGUUCUUUGGCACUCAGGUCAACAUAGUAGGGUUCUCCUUGUCAUUGAUAGCAUCGGUUAACAUAGCGGCAGGGGUCGCGGUCGCCCGAGGAGCACAACCACACGGGGCUGGUCAUGCCGCUGCCAAAGAAGAGCGGAGGAGGUCGAUACAGGGUCGAGGGGCAGGGGCGAGGUUCAUGCCGCACGGGGGCACGCGCCUCCAGCGAGAGAAGGCUUCUACUGUUCCCGUGCCGCCAGGCACCCCUCAUCGCCUCCCUACUUGUCCUCCGGUCGUCGGUGCUCUGUUGGUUGAUGGAUUUUUCUUAUCUGCCAGCAGACCGCACUGGAGGCUGCCGCCAUAUCUGAGGACAUCGUGAUGAGGUUGCCGCUUUGGCCAUAGCAGAGGGGAUCCGGCCGGCACGCCGCGUCUCCCAUAAACAUGCCUAAUUUUA